CCCUACGGGACGCAGCAGUAGGGAAUCUUCCACAAUGGGCGAAAGCCUGAUGGAGCAACGCCGCGUGGGUGAAGAAGGUCUUCGGAUCGUGAAACCCUGUUGUUAGAGAAGAAAGUGCGUGAGAGUAACUGUCCACGUUUCGACGGUAUCUAACCAGAAAGCCACGGCUAACUACGUGCCAGCAGCCGCGGUAAUACGUAGGUGGCAAGCGUUAUCCGGAUUUAUUGGGCGUAAAGGGAACGCAGGCGGUCUUUUAAGUCCGAUGUGAAAGCCUACGGCUUAACCGGAGUAGUGCAUUGGAAACU
Molecule: ribosomal RNA, 305 nt
Filed under: uncultured bacterium
Lineage: Bacteria
Description: bacterial SSU rRNA
Rfam family: Bacterial small subunit ribosomal RNA
Source: RNAcentral